Danio rerio (zebrafish) is the source of this 116-nucleotide non-coding RNA. The record is from Rfam. NCBI's taxonomy places the organism in Eukaryota, Metazoa, Chordata, Actinopteri, Cypriniformes, Danionidae.
UAGCCGGCAGCUAGCUCUCUGCAACUUUCACAAGGUUGCCCACUGAAGCUAAGCAGGGCUGCACCCAGUCAGUACCUGGAUGGGAUACCACAUGGGAAAGCUAGGUUGCUGGUGGA